UCUAUAAAUAAUUAUUUUUAAACCGAAAGCUUUGGAUCUCUUUUGUGGCUGCUUAGCGUGUGUGCUCGGGUCGAGAAAGUAGACUGCAGAUGUGUUGUGAUAAAUCAAACGUCAAAGCUUAUAUCUGUUUAACAACUAUGUAGUUUAAAGUAUCUAUACAGUUUAGAGAUUGUGUGGAUGAGUAUAUUUUUACUAUUUUACUUUUAUAAUAGGGUUAAAAGUACCCAGUUAUUGCAAGAUUGUUCAAAACUAGCAUUAGAUCGUGGAAAAGUAAAGUUACGUUAUGUGUUGUUUAAUUAAAUUUUUUGAGGUUAAGAAUAUCUGAAUUAGUAAUAAAAAAAAAGUAAUUAUUUCUCAAGUUUUGCCCGUCUGUUUAUUAAAAACAUUGCCAUACUGUAUGUUUUAUGGUAGUACCUGCUCUAUGCAUAUUUUUGUAAAUGGCCGCAGUAUUUUGACUGUGCGAAGGUAGCAUAAUUAAUUGCCUUGUAAUUGAGGGCUUGUUUGAAUGGUUUGACGCGGUGAUUACAAAUAUUUAUUUUUUAGCUGAAAUUGUUUAGGAGGGCACAGAAUCCUCCGACCUUAAUUAGACGGAAAGACCCCAGGAUCUUUCAUUUUUGUCUGGGGCAGAUGAGGAUGUUUUAUUCUUAUUUUGACCCUUUUAGGUAUAGUGGUUUAAGUUACCCUGGGGAUAACAGUGUCAUAGUUUAUGAGAGGUCUUAUCGAAUAAACUGCUUGCUACCUCGAUGUUGACUUAGGUAAAUAGGUUGGGCGUAGCCGUCUAACUUUUUGGUCUGUUCGA
RNAcentral lists this ribosomal RNA (799 nucleotides) under Macrobothriotaenia ficta. RNAcentral's name for it is "partial 16S ribosomal RNA". The stretch from base 558 to 799 matches the Rfam family "Bacterial large subunit ribosomal RNA", at positions 2049 to 2584 of the family's 2925-position model. The record is from RNAcentral. Lineage: Eukaryota; Metazoa; Platyhelminthes; Cestoda; Proteocephalidea; Proteocephalidae.